CAAAGCCUAAAGGCUAGAGCCAGAGCUGCCCCACCAGUCGCCUAGCAGGUCCUCUACCGGCUAAUUCCUGUCCUGGAGCUUCAUUGGCACAGCGGCCAGCGAGACGUUCCAGCCUCCCUGUUUCUUCCUCCGCUUUCUCUUCCCUCUGGUUUAGUUUGCUGGGAGCGCAAAAGGAGAAAGCACAGAGCCGCCCCAAACCCGUUUUGCUUCUGCCCAUCACAAGUGCCACUACCACCAUGGGCUUCCCUGUCUCCUCCCAUUUCUCCCGCCUCUUUGGCAAGAAGCAGAUGUGCAUUUUGAUGGUUGGAUUGGAUGCUGCUGGCAAGACAACCAUUUUGUAUAAACUGAAGUUAGGGGAGAUAGUCACCACCAUUCCUACCAUUGGUUUUAACAUGGAAACAGUAGAAUAUAAGAACAUUUGUUUCACAGUAUGGGAUGUUGGUGGUCAAGAUAGAAUUAGGCCUCCUCUGGAAGCAUUACUUCCGGAAUACCCAGAGUCUUAUUUUUGUGGUAGAUAGCAAUGAUCGUGAAAGAAUUCAGGAAGUAGCAGAUGAGCUGCAGAAAAUGCCUCUGGUAGAUGAGCUGAUAGAUGCAGUGCUGCUGCUUUUUGCAAACAAAGAGGAUUUGCCAAAUGCUAUGGCCAUCAGUGAAAUGACAGAUAAACUAGAUCUUCAGUCUCUUCGUAACAGAACAUGGUAUGUUCAAGCCACUUGUGCAACACAAGGAGCUGGCCUGUAUGAAGGACUUGACUGGCUGUCAAAUGAGUUUUCAAAACGUUAAAUGAAACUGGAUAACUAACCAAGGACAUGUUCGAUAAAAUUGGUCUAGGCUUGUUACAACAAAAUUAGUUUGUAUCUUGGGUUAUUAAACAGUAUCUGGGAAAAAAAAUCUUACUGAAGAAAGGAAAUAUAGGCAAGGAUGUGUUAAAUUAGAAUACCUUUGUCUUUAUCCCUUGAGCAAUUUUCUUUUUUGAUAAAUUCAAUAUUUAUUACUCUUAAAAAUUCUUACAACCUAGCAACAGAAAAGAAUUUUAUUAUUUUAUUUUAUUUUAUUUAUUUUUUUCCCAUUUAUUUUAUUGCAUUUUAGGUUUUGGGGUACAUGUGAAGAACAUGCAAGAUUGUUGCAUAGGUACACACGUGGCAGUGUGAUUUGCUGCCUCCUUGAGCAAUUUUCUACAAUAUUAUAUAGAUCAUCUUUACCCAAACUUAUGGUCUCAGUACCUCUUUAUACUCUUAACAAAUUAUUGAAGACCCCAGAUAACAUUUUU
RNA transcript from Cebus imitator (Panamanian white-faced capuchin), 1267 nucleotides. It is a transcript of the gene named ADP-ribosylation factor 4-like, with no coding region annotated. The transcript has a single exon. Lineage: Eukaryota; Metazoa; Chordata; Mammalia; Primates; Cebidae. The record is from RefSeq and is a predicted model, not a curated record.